GCAAGUCGAACGAAAGCUUUAUGCUUUAGUGGCUAACGGGUGCGUAAUACGUGAGAAUCUGCCCUUAGGAGGAGAAUAACUUCUGGAAACGGUUGCUAAGUCUCCAUAUGCCGAGAGGUAAAAUAGUUUACACUGCCUAGGGAUGAGCUCGCGCCUGAUUAGCUUGUUGGUAAGGUAAUGGCUUACCAAGGCAACGAUUAGUAGCUGGUUUGAGAGAGCGAUC
RNAcentral lists this ribosomal RNA (223 nucleotides) under uncultured bacterium. RNAcentral's name for it is "partial 16S ribosomal RNA". It matches the Rfam family "Bacterial small subunit ribosomal RNA", at positions 57 to 305 of the family's 1533-position model. The record is from RNAcentral.